CCUAGCGUGCUAGUUAGCUUUCAGUCAACCAGGCUAGGCGAUAAUCCCGACAAGUUCGUGUCUGAGCCGGAGGUGAGGUUCAGCCCCGCGGAGCCGGGGUUCGGUUCUCCGGGGAAGAACCACCACCGGGCUGUGGCCGGUGUCUGAACGGACCACCGCGAACACACGCUCACGCGUACAAUGUACCUCUAUUGCUGCCUCCAUCUGUCCGUCUCAGGAGCCUGGGCUGAGGUGAUGCGACUCUGGAGGCUACAAAACUGGAGUUCAGAUUCCUGUGGGUGACGCUACGACGAUGACGUUGGCAAAAAGGGAUACGCCCCCGAGUAUUUGGACGUGCAGGUGGCCCCGUCCCGUCCCCCGCCCGCCUUCCCCUCCUCCAGCCCGAAGGUGGCGCUGCAGUUGCGGGCGUAGUACUGCAGCAUCCUCCACGUCCGGCCAAAGUCCUGCGACCGCUCC
Molecule: long non-coding RNA, 456 nt
Organism: Solea senegalensis (Senegalese sole)
Lineage: Eukaryota; Metazoa; Chordata; Actinopteri; Pleuronectiformes; Soleidae
Exons: 4
Source: RefSeq, a predicted model, not a curated record